Molecule: non-coding RNA, 970 nt
Organism: Solanum lycopersicum (tomato)
Lineage: Eukaryota; Viridiplantae; Streptophyta; Magnoliopsida; Solanales; Solanaceae
Source: RefSeq, a predicted model, not a curated record
CAAACCAUAUCCAAUUCCCAGCCACUUCUCAAAUUCCCUACCCGACCCAAAUCCUUGUCUUCUACACAAAUAGAGAAUCCAAUUUUCCAGCAGCAAAAUAAUACGUACAGACCCAUUCUCCAAAACAACCAAGCGAUUUCCAAUUCUUCCCUCAGAUCGCGACCCUUACACGUUUCUUCCUCUUCUCCAGACGCGAACCAGAGCGUUAUUCCAGCCGCGUAGCGCAUUGUCUUCUCCCUCUCUGCUUAUCCAUUUGUACGGAAUCCAGGUGUCGAGAUCUCCCAUUUCCUUUGUCCUCUCUUCAGAAAUCGAAUGGCUGCAAUUUUCAGUCCGUUGGACAGUUGUACAAUUUUUCGAGCUGGCAUCGGGAACUCAAAUUUCGAGUUUUGAAUUCACCCCUUUGCUUUACCCGAUUUCCCCCUUUUUUGCGCUUUAGUUUCAUCUAUAAAUAACAUCUUCUUCUUUAUUUUUAAGUGAGGUAGAGAAUACUCAAAUCGGUUUCUUUAGAACCCGAAGAGAGUUGGAAAAAUAGAAGAAAAACGGGGACGUUAGAUAAGUGAGGUACAGAAUACUCAAAUCAGUUUCUUUUUAGAACCCGACACUCUUGUUUCUUGGAGUCACACUUUGGUGGGGGGAACUCUUUCCCGUCUCAGUUCAGCUGCCCAGAAAAAGGACUAUUAAUGCACAAGCGAACAUAGAUUCAAAUUUGGGUUUGAUAGAAAAAAAUGAAAAAAAAACACAUAGCAAAGGAAGAAUAAAAAGAGAACCAGUGAAGAAAGUUGCAUAAUUGUAUCUAUACCAAAAUAAUUAUAUAUGUAAAUGGAGAAAGCAUGGAUAUGAAGGCCACCUGGUUUAGCAACAAAGGUAAACAUAUAAUGUCACAAAAUGUAUAUGUGAUGCUCUUUCCAUUUUAAAAAAAUGAUUUUAUUUAUUUUUUAGUCUACUUUAAAAAGAAUGAUGCUUUCUCUUU